GACGAACGCUGGCGGCGUGCCUAAUACAUGCAAGUCGAGCGGACGGAUGGGAGCUUGCUCCCAGACCGUCAGCGGCGGACGGGUGAGUAACACGUGGGCAACCUGCCUGUAAGACUGGGAUAACUCCGGGAAACCGGGGCUAAUACCGGAUAACUCUUUCCCUCACAUGAGGGAAAGCUGAAAGAUGGCAUCUCGCUAUCACUUACAGAUGGGCCCGCGGCGCAUUAGCUAGUUGGUGAGGUAACGGCUCACCAAGGCGACGAUGCGUAGCCGACCUGAGAGGGUGAUCGGCCACACUGGGACUGAGACACGGCCCAGACUCCUACGGGAGGCAGCAGUAGGGAAUCUGCCGCAAUGGACGAAAGUCUGACGGAGCAACGCCGCGUGAGUGAUGAAGGUUUUCGGAUCGUAAAACUCUGUUGUCAGGGAAGAACAAGUACCGGAGUAACUGCCGGUACCUUGACGGUACCUGACCAGAAAGCCACGGCUAACUACGUG
This 498-nucleotide ribosomal RNA is filed under the name uncultured bacterium. RNAcentral's name for it is "partial 16S ribosomal RNA". It matches the Rfam family "Bacterial small subunit ribosomal RNA", at positions 28 to 507 of the family's 1533-position model. The record is from RNAcentral.